RNAcentral lists this ribosomal RNA (492 nucleotides) under uncultured bacterium. RNAcentral's name for it is "partial 16S ribosomal RNA". It matches the Rfam family "Bacterial small subunit ribosomal RNA", at positions 29 to 507 of the family's 1533-position model. The record is from RNAcentral.
AGUGAACGCUGGCGGUAGGCCUAACACAUGCAAGUCGAACGGCAGCACAGUAAGAGCUUGCUCUUACGGGUGGCGAGUGGCGGACGGGUGAGGAAUACAUCGGAAUCUACUUUUUCGUGGGGGAUAACGUAGGGAAACUUACGCUAAUACCGCAUACGACCUACGGGUGAAAGCAGGGGUACUUCGGACCUUGCGCGAAUGAAUGCGCCGAUGUCGGAUUAGCUAGUUGGCGGGGUAAAGGCCCACCAAGGCGACGACCCGUAGCUGGUCUGAGAGGAUGAUCAGCCACACUGGAACUGAGACACGGUCCAGACUCCUACGGGAGGCAGCAGUGGGGAAUAUUGGACAAUGGGCGCAAGCCUGAUCCAGCCAUACCGCGUGGGUGAAGAAGGCCUUCGGGUUGUAAAGCCCUUUUGUUGGGAAAGAAAAGCAGCAGGUUAAUACCCCGCUGUUCUGACGGUACCCAAAGAAUAAGCACCGGCUAACUUCGUG